CAGGGUGUGAUUCUCCUGUGUAUGCCAAUAACGGUAAUCAAUCUCCAUACAAUGUAAUCCUGAACUCUCCAUCCUACUCCCCAACAAUCCCUAAUCGUGAAUCUGAUCAACAAUCCCCUGCGAAAGGUUAUCAGUACAGCCAUAAUGACACGCUUUCCGAUUCCGAUGUUAAUGCCAAUGAUGAUCUGAGGGACGAUCUACGCGAUCUACGCCACCUUCACAAGUCUGUGUCUUUGACGUUCAAGAAACUCAUGCGCGUGAAAACACACGGGUCAAGAGUUCAAAGUAAGCAUGUUCAUGCAUUGUGUAAGAAACGUGUGAGCCUUUAUAUGAAUCAAUGUACUACCCUACUCAAUAAACACCAUGUCUAGGAAAAGGUGUGAUAAUUGUUUUAAUGUUGAAGCCAAGAGGUGUAAAAUCAGACAGGAAUCUGAAUAUGUCCCCAUCACAUCCGAUCAUUUAACUUGUGAAUGUGUAUCAGAUACAGAACUUACACUCAACUUACAGCAUGACCAUUUCCAUCAGUUAAACCAAAGUUUAGAUAGACUACGGAAUGAAUGUAAUCCUUCUGUAAUAGACGCUGUUAAUCGGCUUAACGAAAGUUUAGCUUUAACGCCCGACCUCAAUAAUGUUACGGAACAGUCUGUAACAACGCCUCAAAAUGUAACGCAAGAAUCAAACAUAGAUUUGUUUCACAAUCUAAACCAAAGUUUAGAUAGACUUCGGAAUGAAUGUAAUCCUUCUCUAUUAGACGCUGUUAAUCGGCUUAACGAAAGUUUAGCUUUAACGCCC
Molecule: long non-coding RNA, 792 nt
Organism: Astyanax mexicanus (Mexican tetra)
Lineage: Eukaryota; Metazoa; Chordata; Actinopteri; Characiformes; Acestrorhamphidae
Exons: 4
Source: RefSeq, a predicted model, not a curated record